RNAcentral lists this ribosomal RNA (465 nucleotides) under uncultured bacterium. RNAcentral's name for it is "bacterial SSU rRNA". It matches the Rfam family "Bacterial small subunit ribosomal RNA", at positions 966 to 1435 of the family's 1533-position model. The record is from RNAcentral.
GAGAUUGGGCUUGACAUCCCACGAACCUGGUGAAAGCCAGGAGUGCCCGCAAGGGAGCGCAGAGACAGGUGGUGCAUGGCCGUCGUCAGCUCGUGUCGUGAGAUGUUGGGUUAAGUCCCGCAACGAGCGCAACCCUCACCCUUAGUUGCUCGUCCGCAAGGAAAGCACCCUAAGGGAACUGCCUCGGAUAACGGGGAGGAAGGUGGGGAUGACGUCAAGUCCUCAUGGCCUUUAUGUCCAGGGCUACACACGUGCUACAAUGGCCGGUAUAGAGCGUCGCAAACCCGCGAGGGGGAGCCAAUCGCAAAAAACCGGUCUCAGUUCGGAUUGCAGUCUGCAACUCGACUGCAUGAAGCUGGAAUCGCUAGUAAUCGCGUAUCAGCACGACGCGGUGAAUACGUUCCCGGGCCUUGUACACACCGCCCGUCACACCACGAAAGCCAGCUGUACUCGAAGUCGCUGAGA